UUUUAGUUUCCAAGUUCGUCCCUUACAUUUUAAAAGUUUCAAGUUGGUCCUUACGUUUUAAAAGUUUUAAGUUGGUCCCUUACGUUUUAAAAGUUUCAAGUUUGUCCAAAACGUUACUCACAUUGGAAUAAGUUAGUCCCUUCCGUCACUUAACGUUUAAAGUUUUGGGGUUGACAAUAUGGGCGAUAGAACCUUAAUUUAUUUAGAAAAUCAGUUUAAAACAUUUUUUUAAUUUUUUUUUUGGUUUUAUUAAACUCAAUAUCAUGUUGCGAAAGGGACCAACUUAUUCCAACGUGAGCAACGUUUUAAACCAACUUGAAACUUUUAAAACAUAAAGGACCAACUAAAAACUAAAAUAAACAUAAGGGAUGAAACGUGCAAUUAAGCCUCAUAUAUAAUGAUGAUCAUCAAGAUUUUUAAGUGAUACCUUUUACUAUGGCUAAGAAAUCAAUUGAGUUAAUUUAAGGGUACACACAACAUAUUCAUUACAAAAAUUUAACAUUGAUUACAAUUUUAUAAAUAGCUUCUUGAAUUCCUAAGUGAUAAAAACUAUUUCACUGAAGUUAACAAAGCAUGAAAUUUUUACUUAUAAAGUGAUAAAAAAAAUGUAUGUUUAUUAUAUUUAAGGGAGGAAAAACAUGGCUAAAAUUCUCAUGUUUGUUUAUGCUUUGAUCAUCUUUAUUUCCCUUGUUAUAACCGGUAGAAGCACUAUAAAUGUUAUGUGUUAUUAUGACCACGAUUGUCCAUUUGUGUUAGAUCAUAUAGCUGAAUGUAAAGGUGGUGUUUGUGAGUACACAGCAUUCUUCUAUGAAUAAAGAUUGAUAGACAUGCUUGAUGUUUGCGUGAUCACUUUUUAGAAGCUGAAAAAUGUGGUAACGCAACUAAAUGUGCGUGACAAGUUCUUUUACUCCAUUCAUAAAGUCUUUUCGCCGGACGACUCGUAGGAGGUGAGAAGGGACCUUACUCCAUCCCACUUAGUGUACUACUACCAGACAACAUCUACCUACACAAGCUCGAUAAGGAGAUAGGAAGGAUCCGAGAAAAGUAUGAAAUUUCGAGAAUAAGAUCGGUUCUAUUAAGGACAUGACAUAUUGAUGACCAAGAAAACUCUGGAGAAGAAGCAAGCUUAAACGCUCCCCAAGACAACAAUAUGUGUACUUCUUAGCUUAGUGUCAACAUACAUGCAUCUAAUUAGUUGAUGUGUCGUUUCUACAUCACGCCUCUUUCCGUCUAAAAUAGUACUAUAUUCGUUCCAAAAUACAUGUAGCAGUUAACCAUUGCACACAUGCUAAUAUACAACUUUGACCAUUAAUAUCUUUAAUUAUAUAUAAUAAAAAAUAGUAAAAAUUUGAUAUUUUGAAAAUAUUCAUGGAGACAAAUCAAACAACAUCUUA
Medicago truncatula (barrel medic) is the source of this 1394-nucleotide long non-coding RNA. RefSeq lists it as uncharacterized. NCBI's taxonomy places the organism in Eukaryota, Viridiplantae, Streptophyta, Magnoliopsida, Fabales, Fabaceae. The record is from RefSeq and is a predicted model, not a curated record. The transcript is spliced from 3 exons.